AGAGUUUGAUCCUGGCUCAGGAUGAACGCUGGCGGCGUGCCUAACACAUGCAAGUCGAGCGAUUCUCUUCGGAGAAGAGCGGCGGACGGGUGAGUAACGCGUGGGUAACCUGCCCUGUACACACGGAUAACAUACCGAAAGGUAUGCUAAUACGGGAUAAUGUACUUUUGUCGCAUGGCAGAAGUAUCAAAGCUCCGGCGGUACAGGAUGGACCCGCGUCUGAUUAGCUAGUUGGAGAGGUAAUGGCUCACCAAGGCAACGAUCAGUAGCCGACCUGAGAGGGUGAUCGGCCACAUUGGAACUGAGACACGGUCCAAACUCCUACGGGAGGCAGCAGUGGGGAAUAUUGCACAAUGGGCGAAAGCCUGAUGCAGCAACGCCGCGUGAGCGAUGAAGGCCUUCGGGUCGUAAAGCUCUGUCCUCAAGGAAGAUAAUGACGGUACUUGAGGAGGAAGCCCCGGCUAACUACGUGCCAGCAGCCGCGGUAAUACGUAGGGGGCUAGCGUUAUCCGGAAUUACUGGGCGUAAAGGGUGCGUAGGUGGUUUCUUAAGUCAGAGGUGAAAGGCUACGGCUCAACCGUAGUAAGCCUUUGAAACUGAGAAACUUGAGUGCAGGAGAGGAGAGUAGAAUUCCUAGUGUAGCGGUGAAAUGCGUAGAUAUUAGGAGGAAUACCAGUUGCAAAGGCGGCUCUCUGGACUGUAACUGACACUGAGGCACGAAAGCGUGGGGAGCAAACAGGAUUAGAUACCCUGGUAGUCCACGCCGUAAACGAUGAGUACUAGGUGUCGGGGGUUACCCCCCUCGGUGCCGCAGCUAACGCAUUAAGUACUCCGCCUGGGAAGUACGCUCGCAAGAGUGAAACUCAAAGGAAUUGAC
Molecule: ribosomal RNA, 877 nt
Filed under: uncultured bacterium
Lineage: Bacteria
Description: bacterial SSU rRNA
Rfam family: Bacterial small subunit ribosomal RNA
Source: RNAcentral